Sapajus apella (tufted capuchin) is the source of this 588-nucleotide long non-coding RNA. RefSeq lists it as uncharacterized. The record is from RefSeq and is a predicted model, not a curated record. The transcript is spliced from 2 exons. NCBI's taxonomy places the organism in Eukaryota, Metazoa, Chordata, Mammalia, Primates, Cebidae.
CAGCCUUUAAAAAGAAGGGAAUUCUAAAAUAUACAAGUACAAUUAAAAUUUUUACCAAGAAAGGAUAAUCUCCCAUAUGCUAUAACAUACAUGAACUUAAAGACAUUAUGCUUAGUGAAAUAAAAGGACAAAUACUGCAUGAUUCCACUUCUAUGAGGUAUCCAAAGUAGUUAGUUUGCAACAUAUAGAGAUAGAAAGCAGAAUGGGUGUUGCCAGGGGCUGGGUGGAGAGGGAAAGGGGACUUUCCUGGAUACAACUCUGGAUACAGAGUUGCAGGUUUGCAAGAUGAUGAGAGUUCUGUUGAUAGGUUGUACAACCCUGUGAAUAGCUUUAGCAUACAGAACUGAAUGGGGAGUUCCUGUUGAAUGGAUACACAGUUUCAGUUUGGGAAGAUGGUGCAUAGUGGGGAUAGUUGUAGGAAACUUGAAUGUACUUACUGCCACAUCACUGUAUCUUUAACAUGGUUAAAAUGGUAGCUUUUAUGUUACAUGUAUUUUACCACAGUUAGAAAAAAAUUUUUUUUUUAAUUAUCAGGUAAGUUUCCUUCAAACUCAGGAACCUUUCUGUGGGGAAGCCGUCUUCCCCAAC